Molecule: microRNA precursor, 153 nt
Filed under: Paramuricea clavata
Lineage: Eukaryota; Metazoa; Cnidaria; Anthozoa; Malacalcyonacea; Plexauridae
Source: RNAcentral
AUAACAAGAUUGUUACAAGGUUGUUCUAACAAGUCUGAUACAAUCAUGAUAUAACAAGAAUGUUACAAAGUUGACGACACAAGGUUGUAACAAUAUUGUUAUGUCAUGACUGUAUUGGACUUGUUGGAACAACCUUGCAUCAAGUCUAAUAAU